ACCGGCGGCUCGAGUGGUGGCCACUAUUACUGGGCUUAAAGCGUUCGUAGCUGGCUUGUUAAGUCUCUGGGGAAAUCUUCCGGCUCAACCGGAAGGCGUCUCAGGGAUACUGGCAGGCUAGGGGCCGGAGGAGGUGAGCGGUACUCCAGGGGUAGGAGUGAAAUGCUGAGAUCCUUGGAGGACCACCAGUGGCGAAGGCGUCUCACCAGGACGGUUCCGACAGUGAGGAACGAAAGCUGGGGGAGCAAACGG
This 252-nucleotide ribosomal RNA is filed under the name uncultured prokaryote. Its description in RNAcentral is "partial 16S rRNA". It matches the Rfam family "Archaeal small subunit ribosomal RNA", at positions 475 to 726 of the family's 1478-position model. The record is from RNAcentral.